AAGUCGUAACAAGGUUUCCGUAGGUGAACCUGCGGAAGGAUCAUUACCGAGAGUGGGACUUCGCGUCCCCCGGGGCUCCGGCCCCGACUCUUCACCCUGUGCGUACCCACCGUUGUUGCUUCGGCGCUGUCCCCGUCGCCUGCCCCGGGGCUCGUACCCGGGUGCGGCGUGGGUGACCCCGCCGGAGGCCCCCCGAAACCCCGUCAUCAGUGUGGUCUGAGGAGAAAUCCAAUCAACUAAAACUUUCAACAACGGAUCUCUUGGUUCUG
This 269-nucleotide unclassified non-coding RNA is filed under the name Porpidia sp. Its description in RNAcentral is "partial contains small subunit ribosomal RNA, internal transcribed spacer 1, and 5.8S ribosomal RNA". The stretch from base 1 to 46 matches the Rfam family "Eukaryotic small subunit ribosomal RNA", at positions 1786 to 1831 of the family's 1831-position model. The record is from RNAcentral. Lineage: Eukaryota; Fungi; Ascomycota; Lecanoromycetes; Lecideales; Lecideaceae.